RNAcentral lists this ribosomal RNA (492 nucleotides) under uncultured bacterium. Its description in RNAcentral is "partial 16S ribosomal RNA". It matches the Rfam family "Bacterial small subunit ribosomal RNA", at positions 29 to 507 of the family's 1533-position model. The record is from RNAcentral.
AGUGAACGCUGGCGGUAGGCCUAACACAUGCAAGUCGAACGGCAGCACAGUAAGAGCUUGCUCUUACGGGUGGCGAGUGACGGACGGGCGAGGAAUACAUCGGAAUCUACUUUUUCGUGGGGGAUAACGUAGGGAAACUUACGCUAAUACCGCAUACGACCUACGGGUGAAAGCAGGGGAUCUUCGGACCUUGCGCGAUUGAAUGAGCCGAUGUCGGAUUAGCUAGUUGGCGGGGUAAAGGCCCACCAAGGCGACGAUCCGUAGCUGGUCUGAGAGGAUGAUCAGCCACACUGGAACUGAGACACGGUCCAGACUCCUACGGGAGGCAGCAGUGGGGAAUAUUGGACAAUGGGCGCAAGCCUGAUCCAGCCAUACCGCGUGGGUGAAGAAGGCCUUCGGGCUGUAAAGCCCUUUUGUUGGGAAAGAAAAGCAGCAGGUUAAUACCCCGCUGUUCUGACGGUACCCAAAGAAUAAGCACCGGCUAACUUCGUG